This 564-nucleotide ribosomal RNA is filed under the name uncultured archaeon. RNAcentral's name for it is "partial 16S ribosomal RNA". The record is from RNAcentral.
UGACCGCAGGCUUCACCCCUUGUGGUGCUCCCCCGCCAAUCCUUUAAGUUAUACUUGCGUACGUACUUCCCAGGCGGCAGACUUAACGGCUUCCCUGCGGCACUGCAUUGGCCACAAGCCAAUGCAUCACCGAGUCUGCAUCGUUUACAGCUGGGACUACCCGGGUAUCUAAUCCGGUUUGCUCCCCCAGCUUUCAUCCCUCACCGUCGAACGUGUUCUGGUACACCGCCUUCGCCACAGGUGGUCUUCAAUAGAUCAAAGGAUUUUACCCCUUCCUAUCGAGUACCGUGUACCUCUCCCACUCCCUAGCUGCACAGUAUUUUCGGCGGCCUAUACGUUAAGCGCAUAGAUUUAACCGAAAACUUAUGCAACCGGCUACGGAUGCUUUAGGCCCAAUAAACCUCCUGACCACUCGAGGUGCUGGUUUUACCGCGGCGGCUGACACCAGAACUUGCCCACCCCUUAUUCACCAGUGAUUCUACAACUGACAAAGGACUCCUUUAGCAGGAGACACUCGGAUUUAACCUUGUCGUGCUUUCGCACAUUGCCAAGGUUUCUCGCCUU